Transfer RNA from Loxodonta africana (African savanna elephant), 71 nucleotides. It matches the Rfam family "tRNA". Rfam says of the family: Transfer RNA (tRNA) molecules are approximately 80 nucleotides in length. Their secondary structure includes four short double-helical elements and three loops (D, anti-codon, and T loops). NCBI's taxonomy places the organism in Eukaryota, Metazoa, Chordata, Mammalia, Proboscidea, Elephantidae. The record is from Rfam.
GCAGUGGUGGUUCAGUGGUAGAAUUUUCACUCUUCAUGUGGGAGACCCACGUUCGAUUCCCGGCCAGUGCA